UACGUAGGGGGCAAGCGUUAUCCGGAAUCACUGGGCGUAAAGGGUGCGUAGGCGGCCUGACAAGUCAGAGGUGAAAGGCUACGGCUUAACCGUAGUAAGCCUUUGAUACUGCAUUGCUUGAGUUCGGGAGAGGGUAGUGGAAUUCCAGGUGUAGGAGUGAAAUCCGUAGAUAUAUGGAGGAACACCGGUGGCGAAGGCGGCUACCCGGCCUGUAACUGACGCUGAGGCACGAGAGCGUGGGGAGCAAAUA
RNAcentral lists this ribosomal RNA (250 nucleotides) under uncultured bacterium. RNAcentral describes it as "partial 16S ribosomal RNA". It matches the Rfam family "Bacterial small subunit ribosomal RNA", at positions 524 to 774 of the family's 1533-position model. The record is from RNAcentral.